GCUGGAAACACUGGGAGGGAGGAACUUUGAAAAAACGGCCACUGCCGCCCGCUAUGUCUCGGUCGUGGGUUCGUUAUCCAGUUGUGCGUCAUUCUAAGCCGUUCUGUACAUUUAUACUGGAUAUUAACUGGAGUCAUUUAGCUCUGCUGAUGCUGUUUGCCGUGUGUUUUGCAUCAGUGCUUCGUGACAUCGGCUGUAUUGCGUGUUUUCGCCGACGGCUUACUACCACAAUGGCGGGAUCUGCGUUCGCCGCCUUCGUGUCUCGGUGCGUCUUUGUACGUCGCACGUUCGGAUAACACUUUUUCCGACGGCUGGACAUCCUUCUUGUACCUUGGCGCUAGCUGGAUGACGGGACCUCAUCAUGAUCAGUGUAAGCCAAUGUACUGUACCCUCUCUGGUCCUCCCAGUGCUUUUUAUAUGGGUUAAAGCCAGGGAGCGCUUCGUGGUAGAAUAGCUAGUUGGUGUCUCACAAACGGGCAGUUUUUUGCACUGGUCCAUUAUAAGCUGCCACUAUUAUAACCAAUUUCUUAGUGCCAGUGUACAUACACAGUUCUGCUAAUAAUUAAUUUCCCUAAGCCUUACAAAAUUUACCUGUAGGUAGUCAUUGCUAUGUAAGAACUCACAAAUUAACUCUGCUGUGUCAUACAAGUAUUCCAUCGAUGAGUAAAAAUUUUCUACAACAGUGUACAUUACACCUUGCUUCCCUAAUGCACAAAUGUAUUCAAGCCAGUAUUUGAUUAGUUUGGUAUUCUAAAUGUUUUCUGUGUGAUUUAGUUUCUUUACAGGAACUUACUGUACAGCAUCAGCAAGCAGUCUAAUUUAAGAUUUAUGUGUGCUGUAAAAGGUGUGCUUUGCCGCUAGGAUUGAUAAAACAUGGGCCGAGGCUUCCAUACAAGGACAAACUUCAAUUUCGCUCUACCGCCAUCAGCACUUGGCUGGCGCUUGCAAAAUGAAUCACAUCAAGUAGCUUGUGCCAGACUGUUUUUUAACCUUAUUGUGAGGAGAUCACAAAGUGAUGUGUGGAGGCGCCUGCGUCAGAGAUGUAGAUUGCGC
Molecule: long non-coding RNA, 1053 nt
Filed under: Dermacentor andersoni
Lineage: Eukaryota; Metazoa; Arthropoda; Arachnida; Ixodida; Ixodidae
Description: uncharacterized LOC126529747
Source: RNAcentral